UACACAUUUUAUCAGGCAAAUCAAGAAAAUAAUUAAUUAUAUUACAAUAGUUAUUAAUUUUAAAUAUAUUUUCCAGAAAUCGAUCAAAAUAAAAACUGAAAUUUUCCGGAAAAUCUUGUUUGGAGACGAAAUGGCGCCGCUCGUUGCACCCCCUUGCUCCCCCCUCGCUACGCCACUGAAACUGUAAAAGAAAUUAGUAUAAAAAAUAAGUGUUUUGUUCUCUAAAUUAGCAAUUAUGAAAUUCAGAAUGAAAAUGGUUGAAAAUAAAUGAAAUUUAAAUUACAGGAUGUAUUUUAUUAAAUUACUAAAAAGUGGUUGAAAAUGCUUAUCUGAGUUUUAAAAUGUACAAUUUAUUGGGUGUAGCUUGUGGUAAAGUGUACACAAAAUCGUCAUUCCGAAGUUUUGAGAUUACUGUUGAUCAUAUUCUGACUCCCAGCUCUUUGUCAGCAUAAAACUAUAGUUGAAUCACUUGUUACCUAUUUUACAGAUCAUCUGAGAGGAUUAUUUUAGAAGUAUAGUUUGUAUCUUGAAUUAUAGUUAAACAUGAAGCAAUAUUAACUAUUACAAUUUGAAAUAUAAAAGUUGUGUUUUUGUUAUUUCAUUUGGUAUUUUCAGACUAUCAGCACAUCCAGUUUCAACAUAUGGUAAAAUUGCUGUGUUUUGGGCAUAUCUCUGAGUAUACAUGUGACUAGAGCCACCUCCAAGUGCAUGUGAAUUUAUGCACUUAAUGUACUUUAUUGUGAUUUCACUGAACAGGUUGUGAAAAUGUAAAUAUCAAUUGCCUAUCUUUGUUUUUUUCUCAUAAAUUUCUUGCUUCUUACAAAAAUGCUUCAUUAUUAUUUUAUCAACAGAAUAUUAUCCUUUAGCCAUAAAGAUUAAUGAACUAAGAUUUUUUACCAAGUUGGCAACUUUUUGUGGAAACGUGGAUAAUGAGAGGUGUGUUGGGCCUGCUGAGUGAAAAUAAUGGAGUCCUGUGUAGAAACUCAUCUGAAUCAUCAUUACUUACUUUUAAACCUUCCAACACCUGUUCAAGAAGUGACUGUAGUUUAUCCUAAAUAAAGUAAA
RNAcentral lists this unclassified non-coding RNA (1065 nucleotides) under Stegodyphus dumicola. Its description in RNAcentral is "neurochondrin homolog, transcript variant X1". Lineage: Eukaryota; Metazoa; Arthropoda; Arachnida; Araneae; Eresidae. The record is from RNAcentral.